GGAUUGUGGCUCAGCGGUAGAGCAUUCGCCUUGCACGGGCAGGACCCGAGUUCAAUCCUCAGCACCA
RNAcentral lists this transfer RNA (67 nucleotides) under Marmota monax (woodchuck). Its description in RNAcentral is "tRNA.Ala". Lineage: Eukaryota; Metazoa; Chordata; Mammalia; Rodentia; Sciuridae. The record is from RNAcentral.